Molecule: long non-coding RNA, 624 nt
Organism: Sinocyclocheilus rhinocerous
Lineage: Eukaryota; Metazoa; Chordata; Actinopteri; Cypriniformes; Cyprinidae
Exons: 4
Source: RefSeq, a predicted model, not a curated record
AUAUGAGACUGUUUGUGGGUGCAGGUUAUUGGAGGAAGGGAACAUUGAAUCUGCAGAGGUGCAGAAGCAGAGGAUCGAACAGCUGCAGCGAGAGAGACGCAGAGUCCUGGAGGACAACCACAUGUCACAUCAACCUCGAUUCUUCCAAAAGUCCAGAGAUGACACCUGGGUGAGCAACAACACUUACUGGGAGUUAAGGAAAGAUCCUGGAUUCAGUAACUUUGACUGUCCGGUCCUCUGGUAACCCAGAGGCAGCCAAUAUACAUCUGUGCUCACUGUUGCCUGCUCUUAACUGUUCCACCUUCCAGAGACAACACACACCUUGUGAGGUAGAGACUGAUAAAGCUGUGAGAGACCGGUGGCUGCAGAAUUACAAUCUGAUCGUUUCAAAUCAUUCCUUAAUAUUUAUUAUUUAAUGUCCCAGCAGUUCAUUGCCUUAAUAUGCUUACAUUAUGUUGUAGUGUCAUUUAUGCAAAUGGUUCCAUUGGAAGUAUGAGAAAUAUGCAAUCCUGCCCAGUAAUUUUUUUUUUGGCUGAUGUGCAUAGUAAGUAGCACAAGAAACCAAGAGAAAAACUGUUGGAUUGUGGUCCCUUGUGGCUAAACAUACUAGCAAUCUUGUUAAAG